AUACAUGCAAGUCGAGCGGACAGAUGGGAGCUUGCUCCCUGAUGUCAGCGGCGGACGGGUGAGUAACACGUGGGUAACCUGCCUGUAAGACUGGGAUAACUCCGGGAAACCGGGGCUAAUACCGGAUGCUUGAUUGAACCGCAUGGUUCAAUUAUAAAAGGUGGCUUUUAGCUACCACUUACAGAUGGACCCGCGGCGCAUUAGCUAGUUGGUGAGGUAACGGCUCACCAAGGCAACGAUGCGUAGCCGACCUGAGAGGGUGAUCGGCCACACUGGGACUGAGACACGGCCCAGACUCCUACGGGAGGCAGCAGUAGGGAAUCUUCCGCAAUGGACGAAAGUCUGACGGAGCAACGCCGCGUGAGUGAUGAAGGUUUUCGGAUCGUAAAACUCUGUUGUUAGGGAAGAACAAGUACCGUUCGAAUAGGGCGGUACCUUGACGGUACCUAACCAGAAAGCCACGGCUAACUACGUGCCAGCAGCCGCGGUAAUACGUAGGUGGCAAGCGUUGUCCGGAAUUAUUGGGCGUAAAGCGCGCGCAGGCGGUUUCUUAAGUCUGAUGUGAAAGCCCCCGGCUCAACCGGGGAGGGUCAUUGGAAACUGGGGAACUUGAGUGCAGAAGAGGAGAGUGGAAUUCCACGUGUAGCGGUGAAAUGCGUAGAGAUGUGGAGGAACACCAGUGGCGAAGGCGACUCUCUGGUCUGUAACUGACGCUGAGGCGCGAAAGCGUGGGGAGCGAACAGGAUUA
Molecule: ribosomal RNA, 748 nt
Filed under: Bacillus licheniformis
Lineage: Bacteria; Bacillati; Bacillota; Bacilli; Caryophanales; Bacillaceae
Description: bacterial SSU rRNA
Rfam family: Bacterial small subunit ribosomal RNA
Source: RNAcentral